RNAcentral lists this ribosomal RNA (427 nucleotides) under uncultured bacterium. Its description in RNAcentral is "bacterial SSU rRNA". It matches the Rfam family "Bacterial small subunit ribosomal RNA", at positions 355 to 774 of the family's 1533-position model. The record is from RNAcentral.
UGGGGAAUAUUGGACAAUGGGGGGAACCCUGAUCCAGCAAUGCCGCGUGUGUGAAGAAGGCCUGAGGGUUGUAAAGCACUUUCAGUGGGGAGGAGGGUUGAUGGGUUAAGAGCUGAUUGACUGGACGUUACCCACAGAAGAAGCACCGGCUAACUCCGUGCCAGCAGCCGCGGUAAUACGGAGGGUGCGAGCGUUAAUCGGAAUUACUGGGCGUAAAGCGUGCGUAGGUGGUUAUAUGAGUUAUCUGUGAAAUUCCUGGGCUCAACCUAGGGCGGUCAGAUAAUACUGUAUGACUCGAGUAUGGGAGAGGGUAGUGGAAUUUCCGGUGUAGCGGUGAAAUGCGUAGAGAUCGGAAGGAACACCAGUGGCGAAGGCGGCUACCUGGCCUAAUACUGACACUGAGGCACGAAAGCGUGGGGAGCAAACA